Molecule: long non-coding RNA, 419 nt
Organism: Mustela lutreola (European mink)
Lineage: Eukaryota; Metazoa; Chordata; Mammalia; Carnivora; Mustelidae
Exons: 3
Source: RefSeq, a predicted model, not a curated record
GAGGUAAACACAACACCAGGCGAGGUAGGCACAAGGCAAGAUUUAUUAAAAGCACUCUCCGGUGACGUUUCGGGGCUCAGGAGAAGGGAAGCCAGGAAAGUCGCGCUGGGAGGAGGUCAGCACUCACGGAGCUUUGAAGAUGAGCAUCUGAGAGGAAGUGAAUGCCAGGGCACUGCAGGGGUCAAAGGAUUUUAUUUAUUUAUUGGAGAGAGAGCAGGAGCAGGAGGAGGAGCAGAGGGAGCGGGACAAGAGUGGAGAGUGUGGAGCCCAACACAGGACUCAAUCCCAGGACCUGAGAUAAUGACCUGAGCUGAAAUCAAGAGUUGGUAGCUUAACUGACUGAGCUAUCCAGGUGACCCAUGGCUAUGGGCUCUACUGGUACAUCCAAAGCUUUGGUUUUUGUCUACAUUCAUAAUUGA